Molecule: ribosomal RNA, 53 nt
Filed under: Tissierella praeacuta
Lineage: Bacteria; Bacillati; Bacillota; Tissierellia; Tissierellales; Tissierellaceae
Description: partial 16S ribosomal RNA
Source: RNAcentral
UUUUUAAUGAGAGUUUGAUCCUGGCUCAGGACGAACGCUGGCGGCGUGCCUAA